GUGUUUUUUCCCCACCGUGCCUGCGCACUUCACGGGCUCUUCAGUUUCCGUUCAGAACUCUACAACCUUGACAAUUUCUAAUAAGGAUGCAUCCAGUGCAGGCUUUCUCUUCGUCUCUUGAAUCCGCAUCAAGUUCAAAGACAUCUAAAACCAAAUCUAAAUACAGAGGAAAAGGCACUAGAACAUGGAUUCGUAAAUUUCCAAAAAAUAAGAAGCAAAUCUAGAUAAAAUCUAGAUAUAAAUCGAGACAACCAGAGACAAGAUCAGACCACAUAACAUGGA
RNAcentral lists this long non-coding RNA (282 nucleotides) under Sorghum bicolor (sorghum). Its description in RNAcentral is "long non-coding RNA (SBIC_LNC005441)". The record is from RNAcentral. Lineage: Eukaryota; Viridiplantae; Streptophyta; Magnoliopsida; Poales; Poaceae.